This is a long non-coding RNA of Papaver somniferum (opium poppy), 1281 nucleotides long. RefSeq lists it as uncharacterized. The transcript is spliced from 2 exons. NCBI's taxonomy places the organism in Eukaryota, Viridiplantae, Streptophyta, Magnoliopsida, Ranunculales, Papaveraceae. The record is from RefSeq and is a predicted model, not a curated record.
CUUGGAGUCGAUUGUUGUUAAUAAAGACUAAAUGUUAAUCACACAAGCACUCUAAGAAAAUAUCAAGAGUACAAAAAACAGUUUGGCUAAGUUUGCCUGUGUUAGUGGUGGUUCAGAUUUGUCCUCACAAAGAUAAAUCUACGGCCGCCGUUACACACAUAAAACACAAUCCUACACACGAUCAUAUAAUAAAAAAAUCUCAAAAGCCUUUUCAACGGAAAUGAAUCGAGCAGACCAAAACUCAAUCUAUUGUGGUUGUUUUUCACCUCUACUAAUACGAGUCGAAUAGACGUAUCAAACAAAGAAGAACAUCAAAGAAACCUUAAAAAUUUUAGACAGACCUUCAACUCUCCAUAAUCUUGGACCCUUGCAAAAUGUGAUUUAUCCAAGACUUUCACUAUUAAUUGUACAUAAUCAGUCUCAUCUCAUUUUUUGUCAUUGGGAAAGGCAAAGAACAACCUUCCCAAUUCUCUCUCCAGAGAUAAAUCUAUGGUUGUGGUUUGCUUUCAGAACUCCACUCUUUAGUCUUUACACCUUCCUCUUAAUUGCCUAAUUUUAGAUUUUAAAGGAAAAAAAUAAUAAUCUCAAACCUUUCGCUUCUUCUUGCAGUCUUCCUCAAUUCCAAUUAUCGUUACUCGAAGCUUUCUUUGGAUCCUAUCAUUUUGACCAAGUAUCCUGAAGAUGGUGCCAUGAGAUGAAUGGUGGGAGUUUGAUCUUACUAAAGAUUCUUAUCUUCAAGAUGUGAAUUACCUCCUAUCCAAAUGUCUUCGUACAACGUAGAGGUAUGCUUUUUUCAUUUCAAGGGAUGCACUAAAAACUGUUCGCAUAAAGGUCUAAACCAGCGUAACUUAGUGAUUAAUGUUGUUUGUUAAAUUUCAGAGGUACUGUAGACUUAUUAUUAUCAUUUCUUAAAUUUAAGGGACACUGUUCUUAUGGGGUGCAAAAAGAAAGCACCAAGUAAUUAUAUGAUCCUGUUUCUGAGGACCAGUAUGCAUCAUGUUCGUCUUUCAUACCUUCGAUGAUUAUAUACCAGGAGAUCCAGUUCAAUGAUUAUAUAUCAGGAGAUCCUGUUCGUCUUUCAUAUCUUCGAUGCAUCAUGUUCGUCUUUCAUAUCUUCGAUGAUUAUAUACCAGGGAUGCACUGAGUUAAUUAUGCAUGUUCGUUUUUCAUAUCUUCGAUGUUUGUCUUUCAUAUGUUCAAUGAUUUAUGAUUAUAUACCAGGAGAUCAUGUUAUGUUGUUGUAGAAGUUUAAUUGGAUUCAAACAACUUAUUUGUCCUCUA